UUAAGCGACUAAGCGUACACGGUGGAUGCCCUGGCAGUCAGAGGCGAUGAAGGACGUGCUAAUCUGCGAUAAGCGUCGGUAAGGUGAUAUGAACCGUUAUAACCGGCGAUUUCCGAAUGGGGAAACCCAGUGUGUUUCGACACACUAUCAUUAACUGAAUCCAUAGGUUAAUGAGGCGAACCGGGGGAACUGAAACAUCUAAGUACCCCGAGGAAAAGAAAUCAACCGAGAUUCCCCCAGUAGCGGCGAGCGAACGGGGAGGAGCCCAGAGCCUGAAUCAGUGUGUGUGUUAGUGGAAGCGUCUGGAAAGGCGCGCGAUACAGGGUGACAGCCCCGUACACAAAAAUGCACAUGCUGUGAGCUCGAUGAGUAGGGCGGGACACGUGGUAUCCUGUCUGAAUAUGGGGGGACCAUCCUCCAAGGCUAAAUACUCCUGACUGACCGAUAGUGAACCAGUACCGUGAGGGAAAGGCGAAAAGAACCCCGGCGAGGGGAGUGAAAAAGAACCUGAAACCGUGUACGUACAAGCAGUGGGAGCACAGAGCAAUCUGUGUGACUGCGUACCUUUUGUAUAAUGGGUCAGCGACUUAUAUUCUGUAGCAAGGUUAACCGAAUAGGGGAGCCGAAGGGAAACCGAGUCUUAACUGGGCGUUAAGUUGCAGGGUAUAGACCCGAAACCCGGUGAUCUAGCCAUGGGCAGGUUGAAGGUUGGGUAACACUAACUGGAGGACCGAACCGACUAAUGUUGAAAAAUUAGCGGAUGACUUGUGGCUGGGGGUGAAAGGCCAAUCAAACCGGGAGAUAGCUGGUUCUCCCCGAAAGCUAUUUAGGUAGCGCCUCGUGAAUUCAUCUCCGGGGGUAGAGCACUGUUUCGGCAAGGGGGUCAUCCCGACUUACCAACCCGAUGCAAACUGCGAAUACCGGAGAAUGUUAUCACGGGAGACACACGGCGGGUGCUAACGUCCGUCGUGAAGAGGGAAACAACCCAGACCGCCAGCUAAGGUCCCAAAGUCAUGGUUAAGUGGGAAACGAUGUGGGAAGGCCCAGACAGCCAGGAUGUUGGCUUAGAAGCAGCCAUCAUUUAAAGAAAGCGUAAUAGCUCACUGGUCGAGUCGGCCUGCGCGGAAGAUGUAACGGGGCUAAACCAUGCACCGAAGCUGCGGCAGCGACACUGUGUGUUGUUGGGUAGGGGAGCGUUCUGUAAGCCUGUGAAGGUGUGCUGUGAGGCAUGCUGGAGGUAUCAGAAGUGCGAAUGCUGACAUAAGUAACGAUAAAGCGGGUGAAAAGCCCGCUCGCCGGAAGACCAAGGGUUCCUGUCCAACGUUAAUCGGGGCAGGGUGAGUCGACCCCUAAGGCGAGGCCGAAAGGCGUAGUCGAUGGGAAACAGGUUAAUAUUCCUGUACUUGGUGUUACUGCGAAGGGGGGACGGAGAAGGCUAUGUUGGCCGGGCGACGGUUGUCCCGGUUUAAGCGUGUAGGCUGGUUUUCCAGGCAAAUCCGGAAAAUCAAGGCUGAGGCGUGAUGACGAGGCACUACGGUGCUGAAGCAACAAAUGCCCUGCUUCCAGGAAAAGCCUCUAAGCAUCAGGUAACAUCAAAUCGUACCCCAAACCGACACAGGUGGUCAGGUAGAGAAUACCAAGGCGCUUGAGAGAACUCGGGUGAAGGAACUAGGCAAAAUGGUGCCGUAACUUCGGGAGAAGGCACGCUGAUAUGUAGGUGAAGUCCCUCGCGGAUGGAGCUGAAAUCAGUCGAAGAUACCAGCUGGCUGCAACUGUUUAUUAAAAACACAGCACUGUGCAAACACGAAAGUGGACGUAUACGGUGUGACGCCUGCCCGGUGCCGGAAGGUUAAUUGAUGGGGUCAGCGCAAGCGAAGCUCUUGAUCGAAGCCCCGGUAAACGGCGGCCGUAACUAUAACGGUCCUAAGGUAGCGAAAUUCCUUGUCGGGUAAGUUCCGACCUGCACGAAUGGCGUAAUGAUGGCCAGGCUGUCUCCACCCGAGACUCAGUGAAAUUGAACUCGCUGUGAAGAUGCAGUGUACCCGCGGCAAGACGGAAAGACCCCGUGAACCUUUACUAUAGCUUGACACUGAACAUUGAGCCUUGAUGUGUAGGAUAGGUGGGAGGCUUUGAAGUGUGGACGCCAGUCUGCAUGGAGCCGACCUUGAAAUACCACCCUUUAAUGUUUGAUGUUCUAACGUGGACCCGUGAUCCGGGUUGCGGACAGUGUCUGGUGGGUAGUUUGACUGGGGCGGUCUCCUCCUAAAGAGUAACGGAGGAGCACGAAGGUUGGCUAAUCCUGGUCGGACAUCAGGAGGUUAGUGCAAUGGCAUAAGCCAGCUUGACUGCGAGCGUGACGGCGCGAGCAGGUGCGAAAGCAGGUCAUAGUGAUCCGGUGGUUCUGAAUGGAAGGGCCAUCGCUCAACGGAUAAAAGGUACUCCGGGGAUAACAGGCUGAUACCGCCCAAGAGUUCAUAUCGACGGCGGUGUUUGGCACCUCGAUGUCGGCUCAUCACAUCCUGGGGCUGAAGUAGGUCCCAAGGGUAUGGCUGUUCGCCAUUUAAAGUGGUACGCGAGCUGGGUUUAGAACGUCGUGAGACAGUUCGGUCCCUAUCUGCCGUGGGCGCUGGAGAACUGAGGGGGGCUGCUCCUAGUACGAGAGGACCGGAGUGGACGCAUCACUGGUGUUCGGGUUGUCAUGCCAAUGGCACUGCCCGGUAGCUAAAUGCGGAAGAGAUAAGUGCUGAAAGCAUCUAAGCACGAAACUUAGCCCCGAGAUGAGUUCUCCCUGACCCUUUAAGGGUCCUGAAGGAACGUUGAAGACGACGACGUUGAUAGGCCGGGUGUGUAAGCGCAGCGAUGCGUUGAGCUAACCGGUACUAAUGAACCGUGAGGCUUAACCUU
This 2904-nucleotide ribosomal RNA is filed under the name Escherichia coli DEC4F. Its description in RNAcentral is "bacterial LSU rRNA". It matches the Rfam family "Bacterial large subunit ribosomal RNA". The record is from RNAcentral. Lineage: Bacteria; Pseudomonadati; Pseudomonadota; Gammaproteobacteria; Enterobacterales; Enterobacteriaceae.